RNAcentral lists this ribosomal RNA (905 nucleotides) under marine metagenome. Its description in RNAcentral is "bacterial SSU rRNA". It matches the Rfam family "Bacterial small subunit ribosomal RNA", at positions 376 to 1297 of the family's 1533-position model. The record is from RNAcentral.
CGAAAGCCUGACGGAGCAACGCCGCGUGAGGGACGAAGGCCUCUGGGCUGUAAACCUCUUUUCUCAAGGAAGAAGAUAUGACGGUACUUGAGGAAUAAGCCACGGCUAAUUCCGUGCCAGCAGCCGCGGUAAUACGGGAGUGGCAAGCGUUAUCCGGAAUUAUUGGGCGUAAAGCGUCCGCAGGCGGCUUUUCAAGUCUGCUGUUAAAGCGUGGAGCUUAACUCCAUCAUGGCAGUGGAAACUGAAAGGCUUGAGUAUGGUAGGGGCAGAGGGAAUUCCCGGUGUAGCGGUGAAAUGCGUAGAUAUCGGGAAGAACACCAGUGGCGAAGGCGCUCUGCUGGGCCAUUACUGACGCUCAUGGACGAAAGCCAGGGGAGCGAAAGGGAUUAGAUACCCCUGUAGUCCUGGCCGUAAACGAUGAACACUAGGUGUCGGGGGAAUCGACCCCUUCGGUGUCGUAGCUAACGCGUUAAGUGUUCCGCCUGGGGAGUACGCACGCAAGUGUGAAACUCAAAGGAAUUGACGGGGGCCCGCACAAGCGGUGGAGUAUGUGGUUUAAUUCGAUGCAACGCGAAGAACCUUACCAGGGUUUGACAUCCUGCGAACCUCUUAGAAAUUUGAGGGUGCCUUCGGGAAUGCAGUGACAGGUGGUGCAUGGCUGUCGUCAGCUCGUGUCGUGAGAUGUUGGGUUAAGUCCCGCAACGAGCGCAACCCACGUUUUUAGUUGCCAGCAUUUAGUUGGGCACUCUAGAAAGACCGCCGGUGAUAAACCGGAGGAAGGUGUGGAUGACGUCAAGUCAUCAUGCCCCUUACACCCUGGGCUACACACGUACUACAAUGCUACGGACAAAGGGCAGCAAACUCGCGAGAGCUAGCAAAUCCCAUAAACCGUGGCUCAGUUCAGA